Molecule: ribosomal RNA, 254 nt
Filed under: uncultured bacterium
Lineage: Bacteria
Description: partial 16S ribosomal RNA
Rfam family: Bacterial small subunit ribosomal RNA
Source: RNAcentral
UACGGAGGGAGCGAGCGUUGUCCGAAGUUACUGGGCGUAAAGCGCGCGUAGGCGGGGAAUUAAGUGAGAAGUGAAAGGCUGGGGCUCAACCUCAUGCAGUGCUUCUCAUACUGGUUCUCUUGAGGGCGGUAGGGAGAAGUGGAAUGGCUGGUGUAGCGGUGAAAUGCGCAGAUAUCAGGAGGAACACCAAUUGCGAAGGCAGCUCGCUGGGACGUUACUGACGCUGAGACGCGAAAGCGUGGGGAGCAAACAGG